GCCCCGGUGGUCUAAGUGGUUAGAGCGUCUCCCUCGGAUGUGGAAUGUCGCGGGUUCGAACCCCAUUAACCUGAGGGCA
Non-coding RNA from Potamilus streckersoni, 79 nucleotides. Lineage: Eukaryota; Metazoa; Mollusca; Bivalvia; Unionida; Unionidae. The record is from the annotation of a GenBank genome assembly.